Molecule: ribosomal RNA, 470 nt
Filed under: uncultured bacterium
Lineage: Bacteria
Description: partial 16S ribosomal RNA
Rfam family: Bacterial small subunit ribosomal RNA
Source: RNAcentral
GACGAACGCUGGCGGCGUGCUUAACACAUGCAAGUCGAACGAUGAAGCGGUGCUUGCACCGUGGAUUAGUGGCGAACGGGUGAGUAAUACGUGAGUGACCUACCUUUGACUCUGGGAUAAGCCUGGGAAACUGGGUCUAAUACCGGAUACGACCAAUCUCUGCAUGGGGUGUUGGUGGAAAGCGUUAUGGAGUGGUUUUAGAUGGGCUCACGGCCUAUCAGCUUGUUGGUGAGGUAAUGGCUUACCAAGGCGACGACGGGUAGCCGGCCUGAGAGGGUGACCGGCCACACUGGGACUGGGACACGGCCCAGACUCCUACGGGAGGCAGCGGUGGGGAAUAUUGCACAAUGGGCGCAAGCCUGAUGCAGCGACGCCGCGUGAGGGAUGACGGCCUUCGGGUUGUAACCUCUGUUAGCAUCGAAGAAGCGAAAGUGACGGUAGGUGCAGAGAAAGCGCCGGCUAACUACGUG